CUGAUAUGAGCUUAUUUAAACUGUGCAUGCUACUUGCUACUAGUAGAAAGAGUAGAUAGUGGUGUGACACAUGGCUGGGUUCAGCUCUCAGUAAUUUAAGUUUUCAGCAUUCACACACACAGAAAAAAGAUUCAGUACAAAUUUGGCAAUGUUUGUAGCAUAUAUAGACAUACAGAAUGCAGUUCUAGGAGUGCUUAGGUAAUGUUGAGUGCACAUAGUAGGGUGGUGUUUCUCUCAGAUAAUAGGGCUAUUACAAGAAAACCGCGUAAUGUAUCGUGAGAACAGUAUGAUGUGCCAUACCCAAUGAACUAGUUAAAUCUGUGCAUGUUAGUAGAAAAGAGUAGAGAGUGAUUUGAUACAUGUGAAUGACACAGGGUUUGGUUCAGCUCUCGGUAAUUUAAGUUUCAGUACAAAUUUGGCGCUAUCUGUACCUAUUUCUCGACACAGGUAGACAAAUUUGGUGUUGUUCAGAGAAAGGUAGAUACGCUUUUAGUAUGAACAAAUUUGAUGUUGUUCAGAGAAAGGUAGAUACGUUUUUAGUAUGAAGUGUAAACCCAAAUAUUAGAAUGCUUGCCGCAUCGUGAAUAUGUGAGUUAAUUAGCUUAAAUUAGAUAAACAUUUAGUACUUUUCAAU
RNAcentral lists this long non-coding RNA (634 nucleotides) under Triticum aestivum (bread wheat). RNAcentral's name for it is "long non-coding RNA (TAES_LNC005034)". Lineage: Eukaryota; Viridiplantae; Streptophyta; Magnoliopsida; Poales; Poaceae. The record is from RNAcentral.